This 492-nucleotide ribosomal RNA is filed under the name uncultured bacterium. RNAcentral's name for it is "partial 16S ribosomal RNA". It matches the Rfam family "Bacterial small subunit ribosomal RNA", at positions 29 to 507 of the family's 1533-position model. The record is from RNAcentral.
AGUGAACGCUGGCGGUAGGCCUAACACAUGCAAGUCGAACGGCAGCACAGUAAGAGCUUGCUCUUACGGGUGGCGAGUGGCGGACGGGUGAGGAAUACAUCGGAAUCUACUUUUUCGUGGGGGAUAACGUAGGGAAACUUACGCUAAUACCGCAUACGACCUACGGGUGAAAGCAGGGGAUCUUCGGACCUUGCGCGAUUGAAUGAGCCGAUGUCGGAUUAGCUAGUUGGCGGGGUAAAGGCCCACCAAGGCGACGAUCCGGAGCUGGGAUGAGAGGAUGAUCAGCCACACUGGAACUGAGACACGGUCCAGACUCCUACGGGAGGCAGCAGUGGGGAAUAUUGGACAAUGGGCGCAAGCCUGAUCCAGCCAUACCGCGUGGGUGAAGAAGGCCUUCGGGUUGUAAAGCCCUUUUGUUGGGAAAGAAAAGCAGCAGGUUAAUACCCCGCUGUUCUGACGGUACCCAAAGAAUAAGCACCGGCUAACUUCGUG